AAUGCAUGUCUGGUACUUUUUAAAUGAAUUUCAUAAAUAAUUUGUAUUUUAAAUUGAGAAUUUCUCCAGUUUCCACCAUUGUAAAAAUAAUGUGAGAUGCCUUGGAACAUUCUGGUGACUAAUAAUGAUGUACAAUGGAAAUGACAUUUCAUUACUUAGAUAAAAUGGAUUCAAUGGACUGAUUAGCAUAAAUAACUAUGAUGGAAAACCUUUGAAGGCAGGCAGGAUAGCAGGUCUUGAAGGAAGAUGGUCAAAUAAAUCUUCAACCAAGUCUGAGGCUUUACCAAGAAAUUAAGAAGGUUCUUCUGUGAUAUGUGUUCAUUGUGUGGGAAUAAGACUUGGUGGUCUAAUACAACUAAUACGAAGGUUAGCAUCACACCUUGUCUGUAAGGAUUGAAGCUGGGAGUGGGCAUUAGAGCUGACUUUUAUGGUAACUGUGACUGCAUAAAAGGGCUAUGUGAUUUUACUGUAACAGCAUAGAAUGUAAUUCAGACUAUUUUUUGUAUGUUUGAGAAAAUGUAUAUAAUUUUUACCAUAUAAAGAAAAAAAAUAUGUACAGGUUCUCCAUUUUCAAAAAGAUUGGAAGUUGUUGGUUGAUAAAUCUUUGAAAUUUAAAAAAAUACUAUUUUUUGUUCAUACUCAUAUCUGGAGAAAACACUUCAAGUAGUUUAAGAAUGGAGAAUCUAAAAAAAAAAAGAAAAAAUGUUCAAUUAUUGAAAGGUUUUUGUUCAGCCUUCGACUUUAGUCCAAAAAGAGAGACAUAGGGAUCCUGCAUUCUGUUAUUGGCUUGGUAUGCCGGCGUCAACAUAGGAGGGGUCCUGAUCCUGAAACCCAUGAUGCUUAAAAACAUGGUCCUGAGGUCCCAAAAUUGGAAAAAAAUAAUUCUUGGAUGCUGAAAGGGUCAAUCCCGAAAUCCUUAGCUUAAAAACACCCGAUCCCGUAGUCCUGAUAAAGAUUCUAUCCCCCCUCAAAUAUAUUUAGUAAUUUACUUGCAUAAGCUUGACUUAAGCUUUUUCCUCAUUUUUGUUGAGUCUGCAUUUAACAGCAAAAGUAGGAGAGACACUGGGUUCUGUGGAACCCUUACAAAUUUAUCAAGAUUCAAAAUAUCUAAACAUUUUUUUUCUGGUGUAAUUUGAAAAGUCCCUCCUUCCCCUGGACAACCAAUUAUUUAUUGCUUAAAUUAUUUGGAGGAAUUUACUUUAAAAGGUUAAAAAAAAAAUGAUAGUAGUUAAUACUGUA
Mytilus trossulus (common blue mussel) is the source of this 1239-nucleotide long non-coding RNA. RefSeq lists it as uncharacterized. Lineage: Eukaryota; Metazoa; Mollusca; Bivalvia; Mytilida; Mytilidae. The transcript is spliced from 4 exons. The record is from RefSeq and is a predicted model, not a curated record.